UGGGGAAUUUUGGACAAUGGGCGAAGCCUGAUCCAGCCAUGCCGCGUGAGUGAAGAAGGCCUUCGGGUUGUCAAGCUCUUUUAGUCGGAAAGAAAGAGUUGCAAUGAAUAAUUGUGAUUUAUGACGGUACCGACAGAAAAAGCACCGGCUAACUACGUGCCAGCAGCCGCGGUAAUACGUAGGGUGCGAGCGUUAAUCGGAAUUACUGGGCGUAAAGGGUGCGCAGGCGGUCUUGCAAGUCAGAUGUGAAAGCCCCGGGCUUAACCUGGGAAUUGCGUUUGAAACUACAAGACUAGAGUGCAGCAGAGGGGAGUGGAAUUCCAUGUGUAGCAGUGAAAUGCGUAGAGAUGUGGAAGAACACCGAUGGCGAAGGCAGCUCCCUGGGUUGACACUGACGCUCAUGCACGAAAGCGUGGGGAGCAAACA
Molecule: ribosomal RNA, 426 nt
Filed under: uncultured beta proteobacterium
Lineage: Bacteria; Pseudomonadati; Pseudomonadota; Betaproteobacteria
Description: bacterial SSU rRNA
Rfam family: Bacterial small subunit ribosomal RNA
Source: RNAcentral